This 631-nucleotide long non-coding RNA is filed under the name Coffea arabica (coffee). RNAcentral's name for it is "long non-coding RNA (CARA_LNC007544)". The record is from RNAcentral. Lineage: Eukaryota; Viridiplantae; Streptophyta; Magnoliopsida; Gentianales; Rubiaceae.
GGACUGUAACUUCAGGGAGUCAAGGUUUGGGUGGUGGUGUAGGGAAGUACUUGAAAGCAAGGAAUUCGCAGGUUAAGUCUACUACUGCUGUUGACAGCAGUCUACUCGCUGUUUCUGUGACAAAGAAAAGAAAAGCAGGUGUCUCAACAGGAGAAUAUAAAGAUAUUUCUUCGUGGUAAGAGUUGCAAUAAAUGCUAACCUCCCUAGACAACUGAAUUUGCUUGAUGGGUUUAGCCAACGUUGAUACAGUUUAGCUGCAAGGAGGAUAAUGGAUGACUUGAACCCUGUAAAUGCAGAAAGUCUGUAUUUUAUGGUGUAUAAAUGAUGCAAUUGAGAGUAUUUGUACAGAAUCUAUAGUAGCAAAGUUUAUAAAGACCUUGGUACUUGAGGCGUUUAUUUUAGUUUGAUGUUCCCAGUUUUGAUGGGUUUUAGGAACUUUUGGGUGGAGUCCUGAUAAUGUAUUUCUUGCUUCCCAUUUUUAGUUGCUGAGGUUGAUUUAAUUGGAUGGGAAGUAUAAAUGGGGGAUCUGUGGAAACAGUUGUGUGUUUAGUAGCUUGGAUCUGGAGUAUCUUGAAAAAUGUAGCGGCGGUCUGGCCAUCAUGGAGCUGGAAGCAUCAUGAAGCACACAGCG